UCGAAACCUGCGAUAGCAGAAUGACCUGUUAACACGUUAAAACAUCGGGCGAGCAUCAGGUGGCCCAAGGGCCCCUGCUUGCAAACCCAAGGUAGGUGGCCCCUCACGGGUGUCCAUCGGCCAACGAAAUCAACUGGGCGCUGACUGCGCCAAGGAAAUUAAUACAGAAUUGUUCGUCAGCUUCUCGUUCGCGGGCAGCGACGUCAGUCUGAAACAC
RNAcentral lists this ribosomal RNA (217 nucleotides) under Astrodaucus orientalis. Its description in RNAcentral is "internal transcribed spacer 1". Lineage: Eukaryota; Viridiplantae; Streptophyta; Magnoliopsida; Apiales; Apiaceae. The record is from RNAcentral.